Cucumis melo (muskmelon) is the source of this 1364-nucleotide long non-coding RNA. RefSeq lists it as uncharacterized. Lineage: Eukaryota; Viridiplantae; Streptophyta; Magnoliopsida; Cucurbitales; Cucurbitaceae. The record is from RefSeq and is a predicted model, not a curated record. The transcript is spliced from 2 exons.
GGCCUUCUCAAUCCCUCCUCAACUCCCUCAUAACACUACCUUUCUCUCUCUCUCUCUCUUGAGUAUGUUGUAAUCCCUCCUCAAAUCACUCACCAACUCUCCCUUAAUCCGAGCUCAAUCCCUCUUAUCCUCGUGGUUUUGCUUCCUCUUUCACCAUUUGGAGGUUGGUUUUUGUCCUUCAUCGUUUCAGAGGUUGGUUUUUGUCUUUCCCCCUUUUGAAGGUUUGUUUUCGUCUUUCCCUAUUCACCGUCUCAAUCGGUCUUCAAUUCCCCCGUGUCCAAGGUUGGCUUUCUCCAUUUGUUUUUGCGUCUUCCAACCCUUCAUCCUUGUCGUUGACGAAUUCCCUUCUUUUUUUCCCCAAUCAUAGAUCUGAGAUAGGUUUGUGUUUCGUUGAUGGAAGCAUUUUAUUGUGUUGCCUCUAAAAUGCUUUAUCGUCCAUUUAUGAGUUUCGUUAACUGGCUUCAAUUCCACGAUUGAGGCCUCUGAAACCAUUUAUGGGACUAACUCUGGUUCGUUGCAUGGUUGGCCUUCUAGUCUUGCCGCUCAGACUUCUCCUUGCCACUCAGACUUCCCCUUUAUUGAGAAUUGACAGAUGCUACAUCUUGAGUAGUAGUGGGUCAUUUCGAACAAGUGAAGAAGAUGAAGCAAAAGACAGAUGAGACAAACGAAGGAAUAUCACAAGCAAUCAAGCAUUAUUUUGUAGAAUGAUUAUGCAGUAGUUCAACUUCAAGUCAUUAGGUACAUCCAAGAAUGCUUUCAUGUCGUCGACACUGUGCAUCAGUAUCCUCAUACAGUGCACCCUGUCGAAUCUACUCAGUUUAGGGAUUCCCUACAAGUGUCUAACAACUUCUGCAUGGGUUAUGCUUGCAUCUUGGCACUGUACAUUUAACCAUUAUUCCGCAAUGGCCUUCAACUGGUCAUUCGCAAAUUUCAUGAUACUACGAAUGAUUUCCACAGUUUCCACAUUCUGGCCUCCCUACUUCCUUUUUUAUCUGCUUGAACCCGUCUACCCUCACUCGAGUGACUAGGUUGUGUACCCAUGAUGUCCUUGGGGGGCAUGUCAAGUCCCUGGCUGUACAUCAUAGGGAUCUUCAUAUUGUUUCCAUCUUCAUUGGAAAAUCCUUCGUACCCACCCGACACAUUUGACCCUACAUCGACGAAUGUCUCUAAGCAUGCUCCCAUAACUCGAUCUUUCUCGAACAUAUAGCUCAGGUCAUUGUAAUAGGAAAAAUGCUUAUUCAGGAAGCCCUUAGUGGCAAGAUGGCUCUGUGGAAAUUUUGAAAUAAAUCAUCAAUUUCAUUUUGUAUUAAAAGCAAAUAACAGUUCAUAGUAAAUUAAUUGGCUACCUUCACCCAAUUGUCGAA